GACGAACGCUGGCGGCGUGCUUAACACAUGCAAGUCGAACGGAAAGGCCCUGCUUUUGUGGGGUGCUCGAGUGGCGAACGGGUGAGUAACACGUGAGUAACCUGCCCUUGACUUUGGGAUAACUUCAGGAAACUGGGGCUAAUACCGGAUAGGAGCUCCUGCUGCAUGGUGGGGGUUGGAAAGUUUCGGCGGUUGGGGAUGGACUCGCGGCUUAUCAGCUUGUAGGUGGGGUAGUGGCUUACCAAGGCUUUGACGGGUAGCCGGCCUGAGAGGGUGACCGGCCACAUUGGGACUGAGAUACGGCCCAGACUCCUACGGGAGGCAGCAGUGGGGAAUAUUGCACAAUGGGCGGAAGCCUGAUGCAGCAACGCCGCGUGCGGGAUGACGGCCUUCGGGUUGUAAACCGCUUUCGCCUGUGACGAAGCGUGAGUGACGGUAAUGGGUAAAGAAGCACCGGCUAACUACGU
This 467-nucleotide ribosomal RNA is filed under the name uncultured bacterium. RNAcentral's name for it is "partial 16S ribosomal RNA". It matches the Rfam family "Bacterial small subunit ribosomal RNA", at positions 28 to 506 of the family's 1533-position model. The record is from RNAcentral.